Molecule: long non-coding RNA, 795 nt
Filed under: Triticum aestivum (bread wheat)
Lineage: Eukaryota; Viridiplantae; Streptophyta; Magnoliopsida; Poales; Poaceae
Description: long non-coding RNA (TAES_LNC022947)
Source: RNAcentral
AGCGGCGUAGGCGGCGGCCGGCCUGGAUGGCGGAGCAGGGGCCGGAGCUCAGCAGCCACUGCAGCCUACUCCGGUCUUCCUCCCCAACAUCAGGCCGGUAAGAUCCUCUCUCCCCUUUUGAUUUCUAGGAUUCCCAUCCCCUUUUCCACUGCUGACCAUGGCCGUCUUUCCGGCGAAGCUCCACGGCUCAUCUCUGUUUGCUGCAACUGCCAUGUCCAAUUGAUCGAUGGAUCUAUCUCUGGAACUAGUGAAUUGAAUGGUUUGAUUCUCUCAAAUAUUAUAUUUGCUCCAAUGGCAAGACUGCAAGAGGUCUAAUCGAAUGGCAUUCUGUGGCAGAGAUUUUGGUGCGGGAAUGAAGUGGGGAUCGGGUGGCGGGGUGGGAGUCACCCAAUCCCUGGGUGGAUUGAAGCCACUAGGGGAUUGCAUCUCCACCAACCAAACAAAGCCUUAAAGUUUCACGACUAGUGUCACUUCAUGCUCCCCACGGUCAGAGAGGAAGUCCCUAAGGUCACGAGGCUAUCCUGUUAAAGCUAAAAAAAUUAUACGUGAUUUCCUGCACGUAUUUUUUGAAGUAAGAAAUUCUUGAUUUGCUUAAAUUUGUACAUUUGUUGUUCUAACUGUUCCAUGCUUCGACGACAGGAAAUAUUGCUAUUUCAUUUCCAUGGCCAUUACUCCAUUAGCCCGUUUAGUCCUGGAACAAUAGUUUCUACAGAUAAUUUUUCUUCUACGUAUAAAAUUUAUGUCAUUGUUUCAUUCUAGAGCAGGAACUUGCCUUUUCAACUAAUUUGGUACCUC